Molecule: long non-coding RNA, 40464 nt
Filed under: Gossypium barbadense (sea-island cotton)
Lineage: Eukaryota; Viridiplantae; Streptophyta; Magnoliopsida; Malvales; Malvaceae
Description: long non-coding RNA (GBAR_LNC022897)
Source: RNAcentral
GACAUUACCAUGAAUAAAUCAGUCUCAAUUCUCUUUAAACAAGCAUUACUGAGUUUGGCAACAGACUCGGGAUUACAUCCUUUAGUUCCUUAUUUUACAUAUUUUUGCGGAUAUCUCAUACCUGAUUAUAUAUGUGUGUUGCAAAGAACUUUUGGUUGGUUAUCUCGAGCUUACAUUUUUGCCACAUUUAUCUCAGGUUGCACGGAGUAAUUUCCCUCUCAUGUUUGCUUUGAUGCGUGUUGCCCGGAGUCUUCUCCAGAAUGAACACUUACACAUAGAACCUUACUUGAGUUUAUUAUUUCAAUCAUUUAGAAGUACACGAACUAAUGCAAAUAUGCUAGUGGUUUAUUUUCCACCUAUCUGAUUUUUUAAAAUGUUCUUCAGUUACACCAGUUGAUGCCAUCUAUUAUUACCUGCCUCGUUGCAAAAAGGUUAGGAAAUAAAUUCACCGACAAUCAUUGGGAACUUAGAAACUUCGCAGCAAAGCUAGUGGCAUCAUUAUGCAAAAGGUGAGGAUUUCUUUUCUUUUGGACUUAUACAUGCAUAUUCGUUUUUAUGAAUCUCAGGUGUCUGAUUUUUUAGUUAUAAACUUGGAUCUAUUCUUCAAAUCAUGUGUAUAUCAUUUUUAUGCUAUUUCACACAUGCAAAACAAAUGGUGCGAGCGUGCAUGUUAUAUGCAGAAUGCAUAGAUUAAUUACAUGUGGAUCAUUAAGCAUGCCUAUGUUUGACCAUUGUGUGUGGCUACUUUUUUUUACAUGAUCCAAUUUUCGAUAUGCUUUGCUUUUAGGUUGAAUGCGGAAAAGAUUAGAACUUAGUUUCCAGCAUAAUGAUUUGUCUUGGAUAUGCAGAUUUUUACAUGCAUUUCUUACAAGUCAAUAUUUUAUAGAUUUGGGCAUGUUUAUCACAAUCUUCAGCCACGUGUGACAAGGACACUGCUCCAUGCUUUUUUGGACCCAACGAAAACAUUUCCCCAGCAUUACGGAGCAAUUCAAGGGUUAGCAGCCCUUGGACCCAGUGUGGUAUAAUUCUAAUCUCAAAUAUUUACUAGCAACACAAUAAGAUACUUGUUUGUGGGAUCAACUGGUCAAAGAUAUUGCAAUGAUAGCCAUCUUUUUAAGCCCAUUUCUUUCAGAAAACUGUUUUGUCACUCUUUUCUGCAAGAUCCGAAGAAAGAAAGAACUUGGAAAUCUAUAGUCCAAAAGUGUAAAUAUGCGGUUUCUCUAUAGGUAUCUUUAUUAUGGCAUCUGUACAGUUUGUCUUUCAUAUGUUUGGCUAACGCUUCUUCUUCCAUGUGUAGGUUCGUUUACUUAUACUACCAAAUCUUGAAGCGUAUUUGCAGCUUCUUGAACCUGAAAUAAAAAGACACGAGGCCUGGUGUGUUUAUGGGGCCCUGCUGGUAAGUUCCACAUCAAAUUUGGUACCAGUUUAUGAGCAUCGUUUCAUUUAUUUGCUGUAGAACUAACAACACUGCAUAAAAUUUCCACUAACAGCGUGCAGCUGGACUGUGCAUGUAUGAUCGGCUUAAAAUGUUCCCCAGUUUGCUAGCACCCCCAACUCGUCCCGUUUGGAAAAGCAACAACAAAGUUGCGACAAGUAUGAUUUCUUCGAACCAUCAUAUUUACACUUAAUCCACAAGUCUCUUCUCCCCCUUUACGAUAUUCCUUUUUCUGAUCAACCAAGAUAAACGAAAAGCAAGCACGGACACCUUGAUGCAGCAGCAACAACCUGCCAAGAAAAUAGCAACUGAGAGUGCAAUAGGUAUGAUGCCAAUAAAUUCCAUGCAAGCUGAUUUACAAGGGUCAGUUAGCGGCUUUUCUACCACCGUAGGAGGUUCCAAUAUCGGUGUAUCAUCAAUGUCACGGCCGUUAUCAAACUAUAACAUGCUUGGAAGGGAGGCUGGGGGUCGAGUUUCAAAGACAUCAACCGUUCUAGCUCAGGCUUGGAAGGAAGACACAGACGCAGGGAACUUGUUAGCAUCAUUAUUUGAACUUUUUGGUGAAAGUAUGUUAUCAUUUACUCCCAAACCUGAGCUUUCAUUCUUCCUUUGAUUGAAUUUCACCUCCAAAAGCUAUAGUUUUUGAAGGAAUUUGUGUAAAUUAUCCCCAUAGUUUUUUUCAGUCUUACUGUGUUUAUCUUUAUAAGUCUUCUUUUUUUCCUUGCUCAUAAAUGUAUUGUAGUUAUCAGAAAAUAUAUUCUACUUUGGAUUUUGUUUAUAUUAAAUUUUAGGUUAAAUUCUGCUAUUAGUCUCUGUAUUUACGAAAAUGAUGGAUUUAGUCCUUAUACCUUAAUUUGAUCAAUUUUAGUCAUUGUAUUUUUUGAAUUGGUCAAUUUUAAACUAUUUACUUUUUGAAGUUUGAAAUUUUAGUCUUGAUCCAAAUAAUAAUAAUAAUUAAAUCUGCUUAUUUAAAUUCAAUUAUUAGUUUUGUAUUAUGUAGAUAGUUAUAAAUUUAGGGUGGGUUUGGAUGGGCUGUGCUUUUACCUGCAGUUAGUGUAAAAAUAGCGGCGGUGGUGAGAUUAGAUAUCCAAGGUACCUAAUUUUUAUUUUGGCCAUAAGUACUACUAAAACUAUUCUUCCGUUACCCAUUUUAUACCAAAAUGUUAUAUCGGCUAAAAAGAUUCCAACAAAUAAUAGAUUGUAUGUCAUAUAAACUUUUUUAAAAAAUCAUUAAUUAAUUAAUUUUUAUAUUUUUCUUUCUUAUUCCUUUAUAAUGUUUGACAAUGUCGAUAAUGCUUGAAAUUGGCCCACUUGAGGUCGAAACGCUGGUGAUUAAUUUUGGUUUUGAAUUUCACCACCUACUUCUCUGACCAGAGGGGAUAGAAAAAGUUCUUUCAUCGAUCAAAACUAGUAUUUUCAAAAACAGACUGAUUCUACGGGUUGGAUAGGAAAUCGGUUUGGAAAUAGGGGUUGAAUCGAUUGACUUGCGAGCAAAAACAAAUCGGUUGAACUAAGCUAAAAAAACUGGUUGAAUAAGUUCUCUCUUUUUAUAUAUAUAUAAAUAAUAAUAGGCUUUGUUUUUACUACAUGUCAAUUUUUAAUUGGUUAAUUUUUUUUUCAUAUAAAUUGAACAAUUUGACUAAUGACGGAGGUACCAAAUUAUAGUCUAGGUACCAAUUUAUGGGUUAAGCCUAUUUAUAAAAUAGACUUUUGACAGUUUGACUAAUGGCGGUAGUAACUUGGGAAAAAAAAGUAGUUUAUGUACCACUUGUGACAAAAAAUAAGAUUAGGUACCAACAUGGGAAAAUGAGUAUAAUUUAGAUACCGAUUUAUGAGUUAAGCCUAAUAUAUUUGUCGCAUAAUUUUUUGAAAAUAACAGAACUUAAUAAAUUUAACGGUUAUUGUUUGGUGAUUACUAAAAUUUUAAAAUUUGAAAAGUACAUGAACUAAAAAUGACCAAAUUAAAAUAUAAAUAUUAAGUCCACAACUUUUGCAAAGUACAAGGACUAAUUGCAGAAAUUAACCUAAAUUUCAUAUGGGUCAAUUACAAAAAUAAUCACUAAACUAUCCCUUUGGUUCUAUUCUAGUCACUCAACUAUAUAGGUGCUCAUGAGCUUGGCCAGGUCAGGCCUAAGUAAGGGUGAGCAUUCGAUUGAAUCGAAAAUAGGGUUUGGGAUAGAUGGGAGGGGAAUAAAAGUUUUAGGGGAAAAGUGGGAGGGAGUAAAAAUUUUGGGAGAAAAUAAAAGGUUUUGAGGGUUUUGGGGAGUAAAAUAUUGAGAAAAAAUAAAUAGGAGAGUAAAAUUUUGGUGGGAAAUGGAUUUUGGGUAGAUUGGGGGGUUGGGAGGGGAGGGGAGUAAAAGUUUUGGGGGGAAAGUGGGAAGGAGUAAAAGUUUUGAGGGAAAAGUAAAAAAGUUUGGGAGUUUGGGGUAAAAAUGUAAAAUAUUAUAGUUUGAUAUUCGAAUUAUUCGAAUUAUUCGAGUUAUUCGAAUUCGAAAACUCAACUCGAUUCGAACUCGAAAUUCGAAAAAAAAUUCGAGUUGAUUCGAAUAACUCGAUUCGUUUAACUCGAAAUUUGAAUUUUUUUCAAUUUUUUCGAGUCGAAUCGAGUUUUGCUCACCCCUAGUUGCAAGUGCAACUUGCGUGGUGGCUGCCAGAAGGACUGAAUCGUAAAUGUAGCAAAAGUUUUGGGGCAAAAAUGUAAUUUUGAGAAAGUUUAGGGUCAAAAUAUAAUUUUAAAAAAUAUUAAGGGUUAAAAUAUAAUUUUAUAAAAAUUUAAGGGUCAAAAUGAAAUUUUAGAAAAGUUCAGAGGUCAAAAUACAAUUUUUAAAUUUUUUUUAAAAAAAAAAACACGAAAUUAUUCCCACAAAAUUAAGUGAUUACACGUAACUUUUCAAUGUAAAAGAAAAAAAAGACUGUAACACCAAUGUUGUGGUGUUAUUUGUUGCCUAUAAAUACCAUUCCUAUUCUUCAUCUUCCUCUGCAAACAUAACAUGGCCCCCUAUCUCUUUCUCUGCCUAUUCCUCUUCUUUCCCCGUCUUUAUGCUUCUUUUUCUUCUUCAGGAUAUCAGUCCUGCUCUUCAUUAAUCCAGUUUAAGGACUCUUUUUCCAUAACAGAGGAUGCUUCUUCUGAUUGCAAUGAGAUUGCUGGCCUUAAAUCUUAUCCCAAGACAAAUUCAUGGAAGGAGGGUACAGAUUGCUGCUCAUGGGAUGGGGUCACUUGUGACCACCUAAAUGCUCAUGUUAUUGCCCUUGACUUGAGCUGCAGUUGGCUAUAUGGCAACUUCCCUUCCAAUACCACUCUCUUCCUUCUUCCUCACCUUCAAAAACUCAACCUUGCCUACAAUGAUUUUAAUCUUUCCAAAAUUCCAUCCGAGUUCGGUCGGUUUACAAGCCUAUUCUACCUCAACCUUUCCCAUACAGAGUUUGAAGGAGAAGUCCCAUCCCAAGUCUCCCACCUGUCAAAAUUGGUUUCACUUGAUCUCUCCUCUCGGAUUGAUUACUCUGGGCAAGUUACAAUUGACAAACAUGCUCUGGAGGGACUUGUUCACAACCUAACCGAGGUCAGACAUCUGUUUUUGGAUGGAAUGGACAUGUCUUCUGUUAAUGCUCAUGUCUUCAUGAAUCUAUCCUCUUCUCUAAGGUCUCUCAGUCUUGCUUAUUGUGAUUUGCAAGGAAAAUUCCUAAAAAACAUUAUUGAUUUGCCAAACCUCAAUCUCCUCAACUUGGGACGUAACCAAAACCUCAAUCUUGAUCCUUUGAAGUUCAAUCGGAGCAGCAAUCUCGAACAUUUGGAUCUGUCGUGGAUGUCCUUCUCUACAGAAUCCGUUAAUUCAGUUGAUAAUCUACAGGCCUUAAAGUACUUAGAUCUAUCAGGAAAUUCUUUCUUUCAAGGAUUGUCUGUCUCAAUCACAAAUUUAUCAUCUUUGGAGCAAUUGAUAAUUUCAGGCGCAAAUUUUUUUGGAGGAUUGCCUGACUCGAUGGGGAAUCUUGUGUCCUUGAAGUUUUUAUUUCUCUCCGAUUCCAACUUUUCAGGACCGCUUCCAAGAUCACUGGGAAACCUCUUUCAACUCAAGUGUUUAGACUUGAGAUCAAACAAAUUGAGUGGACAAAUUCCAUUGUCAAUUCUAAACCUAACGCAGUUGGAAUACUUGGAAAUAUCUGAAAAUUCUUUAGAAGGUUCCAUUCCAGAUGAGGUAACCGCUUUUCCUAAUCUAAUAUAUUUAUACUUAUCUGACAAUUUACUCAGUGGAACACUUCCGUCAUGGUUGUAUACUGCUCCCUCAUUAGACAGUAUAGGUCUCUCUCAAAAUCAAUUCAGUGGGCAUAUCAAAGAAUUCCAAUCCAAAUCACUAGAAUUGAUAGCGUUAGAGAGUAAUAAACUCCAAGGUCCUCUUCCAUCUUCAAAAUUCCAACUUCUCAAUCUUACCCACCUCUCUUUAUCCUCAAGUAAUCUCAGUGGUGUCAUAGAGUUUCGCAUGUUCUCAAACCUUCCAAAUCUAAAACUUCUUGACCUUUCAUACAACAGCCUAUCCUUAGCAUCUAAUACUACUUCUUGUGUUAACCAUAUAUUGCCUAAUCUUACAGACUUACGUUUGUCAUCUUGCAAUCUUAGUGAAUUCCCCCAAUUUUUGAAAGGGCUUAAAAGUUUGAAAAGGUUAGACCUCUCUUGCAACAAAAUUGAAGGCAAGAUUCCACAGUGGAUGCAAGAGGUGGGGAAUGGCUCUUUGACUUACUUAAACGUAUCUCACAACUAUUUGACAGAAGUUGAGCACUUUCCACGGAAGAAUAUUGAAGUUCUUGACUUAAGCUCCAAUUUGAUCAGUGGAAAUCUUCCGAUUCCAGCUUCGACCAUCAAUGUCUUUUUGAUCUCAAAUAAUAGUUUCAAUGGAGAGGUCUCUUCUUUAAUAUGCAAUGCCAGUUAUCUUAAAAUUCUUGAUUUGUCCCACAAUAACUUGAGUGGAACAAUUCCGCAAUGUUUUGGAAAUUUGAGCAACAGCCUUCAAUUCUUGAAUCUGAAGAAGAACAAGUUCUAUGGGACGAUUCCUCCAACAUUUGCAGAGGGAUGCCAAUUGACUAAUUUCAACAUAAAUGGAAAUCUGUUAGAAGGGCCUUUGACACCAUCCAUCCUUAAUUGUAAUGAACUGGAAGUGCUAGAUCUUGGUAACAACAAGAUCAAUGAUACAUUUCCUCAUUGGUUGGGCAGUCUUCCAUUUUUGCAAGUUCUUGUAUUGAAGUCAAAUCAUAUGCAUGGUUCCUUGCGUGUCAAUAGCUCCAAGUCUAGCCCUUUUUUCUCUAAAAUCCAAAUUUUUGAUCUCUCGAGUAAUUAUUUUUCUGGACCUCUACCUGUGAGAUACAUCAACAGCUUCAAGGCUAUCAUAAAUCUAGAUAAGAUUGGGAGUACAAUGUCGUACAUGGGGGUGUAUGCUCAGAGAGGUAGUGGCUUCUAUACCUAUUCCAUUGGAAUUGUUAUGAAAGGACAAGAUAUGGAAUUGGUGAAAAUUUUCACCAUGUGGAUGAUCAUUGAUCUAUCAAACAAUCAGUUUGAAGGGUGUAUUCCAGAGGUUUUUGGGAAGCUUAACUUACUGAAAGGGCUCAACCUUUCUCAUAACAACCUUCAUGGUGGUAUCCCCACCUCAAUAGGGAAUUUGACAAGUCUUGAAUGGUUGGACCUAUCUUCAAACAGGUUGUCUGGGACGAUUCCAAAUAGAUUGGCAGAUCUGGCAUUUCUUUCGUCCUUCAAUGUUUCUGAUAAUCAGCUCCAUGGUCAGAUUCCUCAAGGCAAACAGUUCAACACAUUUGGAAAUGAUUCAUAUGAAGGAAACAAGGGAUUAUGUGGAUUUCCAGUCUCGAAAGGUUGCAACAUCAUUGAGCCACCACCUCCAAAUGUGCUUGAAAAAGAUGGCUCAAAAUCAAACAUUACUUUUGGUUGGAAAGUGGUGUUGAUAGGUUAUGGAUGCGGAGUGGUGUUGGGAAUGUCCGUGGGAUAUGUUGUUUUCCAAACUGGUAAGCCGAAAUGGUUGGUGAAUUUGGUUGAAAUCCAACAUGAGAAGAAGCAAAGACGAAAGUCAAAGAAAGGCAAUCGAAGCAAUAGACGAAGAAGGAUCUAAGUACAGCAAAUGAUGUUCAAGAAUUAGUGUUGUAUUUUCAAAAUUUCUUGUUCUGUAGACCGUUUUGCCCAUGGUGAAGGGUUGCAUUGGUAUGUGUAUGUCUUUAUUAUUGUACCAAUUCCUGUCUUUCAUUGCAUUUCGUACUAUCUGUAAUGGUUUGUUUGAGUGUAACAUUUUGUAUGGUAUUGUUGUUUAUGUCUUCUUUCAUGACUUUCCAUUUAGUCUCGAUAAUCUUUGCUACUGCUCAGUAAAGGAGGAAGGAGAAUAAAAUGUCUCAAUUUAUGUCAAUUUAUGCUUGCAGAUUUGACGUGGAAUGUUGUUGAACUGAAGGUUGUUUAACUUUUGUCUUCUAAGCUAUACAUGAACAUAUGGGAUGUGACAAAUAUUAUUUUAGCUUUUGCUUAUGAAAUGUUGAAAUAGUGAGUUUAUAUUCCUUGAUUAAUAAAAAGUGAGAUGGAGAUAGUCAAACCUCAAUUUCCACAUUGAAAUUGAAUCCAAACAUUAAUUGGUGGAUCACAUGUCUUGUAUUCUGUCAAGUUAAAGGGAGUGAAUAGAGCACCAUUCUUCUUCUGCGUGGAAAAUAAGUUGGCGUUAUGCCAAUUUUCACAUUCAUACAUAUAAAGGAAGCAAGACCAAGUCAAUAUACUUUGUAAUCUCAUCAUUUCUUCUUCAUUCUUUAGGGAGUUCAAAUGAAAUACAAAUUUUUGGUAAAUCAACUCUUCUUUUUUAUGAAUAAAAAUUAUAUGGUAAAAAGGAAGUGGUGUUAAUAAUAAUAAUAAUAAUAAUAAUAACAACAACAAUACAAAACUAAUAAAGCAAUUUAGUCUAUGAUUUGCACAAUGAUUAAUGUAGCGACCUAAAAAUUUAGGCACGAGCGCUAAUUGAAGUGAUUAUUGAAAAUUUGAAAACAGAAUCUCGAUUUUAUUUGAAAAAGGAGUCGCUAUCGAUCUUUUUUUCUAGGUGUGAUCGGACACCUAAUAAAUUCUCUUUUUAGAAGAAAAAUUUAUUUUUAAAUUUUUCUAAAAAUAGGUAAUUUUUCUAAAAAAUUUAGGGGUCAAAAUGUAAUUUUUUAUUUUUUGAAUUUUUUUUGAAAUUUAAAAAAAUAUAUAUAUAUAAACACGACAAAACCCGGACAAAAUUUAGUGCUUACAAUUAAUACCUAAUUUGAUCCUUGAAUUAUAGUUCAAAAAGUAUUUUUAUAUUUUUAAAUUUUCAUAAAAAUAAUUGUAUCAAAAUUUAAAAAUCUUAAAAAUAAAUACAAAUUUUAUAUAAAAAAUCAAUUGGCCCAAGAAAAAAAAUUUACCAACUAAAUUUUCCAUAUCCAAACUCAUAAAUAAUUCUUCUUUGAACUUUCACAAAAAAAUAUUAAAUACCCUUUCACUUUAUCAUUAUAAAUAUAAUAUACAUUUUUUUCCUUCUUUUUCAUGUAGAUCAGCUUCAACUCUACUAUUCUUAGAUCAUUAUAAAUAUAAUAUAUGUUUUAUUUACAGCUGAAAGUAAAACCUUGAGUUGAAAUUUGGCAGAAAAAAUUGUGGGUUUGGAGAAGAAGAAGAGCACUUUGUAUUUAAAUUUAAAAAAUCAAAAAUUUCAAAACUGAAAGUUACUCAAAACCCUAAACAAUCUAAUAAUUGGAGUUAUAGAAAAGAAAUAUGAGUUUAGAAAUAAAUAAAACAAAAUAAAUUUGCAAAACAAUUUCUAGGCAAAACAACAUGAAGUUGUUGAUGUGAUUGAAGGUGUUCUUCAACGGUGGAAAACAAAUAGAAUUUAAUUUGAAAAUUUUAAGAUUUUUUAAAUAAUAAAAAAUUGCAUUAGUUUAAAAACUUUAGUUUUAAUUUUAAGAUAUUUUUAGAUUUAUACAUAUUUAAUUAUUUUUAGAUUUUUUAGAUUUAAAUGAAGUUACAAUUAUUUUUGAAAACGGUACCUCUACAUUUUUGAAGGUACAAGGAAAUAAAAUAUGGAUUUGGUAUCGAUACUUCGGCCCGAGUAUCAAUGCUCGAGGUAAGUUUAUUGAUACCUUGCGAAAGGUACCAAUAAUUUUUUUAUAUUUUGAUAUUUGGUAAGAAACAUAAUGUUAGUUUGGUAUCGAUUUUCCAUGAGAUAUCAAUACCACUUAAAGAAAAUAUCGAUAGCCCUAGGACAGUAUCAAUACCUAUGUAACAGUUUUAGAAAUUUUGCAACUGGGCCCAUUUGUAGGUUUGAUUGAUGUUUUUAAUACCCUUAGUGUAUGUAUGGCAUGUUUUAAUGAUAAGAAGUGGUUGAACGACUACAACUCAUACGUAGGAUUGAAUAAAGAUGAUGAUUGGUUACUUGUGAAAUUGUUUGCUAAGUAAAUGAUGCAUGAUGGUGGUGUAACAUCCUAAUAUUUCGGCUUGGCGACUGAGCCGAGUAUAGGGUGUUACAAUGUGUUCCACAAGUUUCAUCAGCAAUCCUCAAUGCAUCUAAUUAAUUGGGAAAAUUGAGAAAAUAGAAAUGGUCAAGAAGAUGUAACAUGAUGAGUACCUCUUUGCACCGUCAAGAAUUUUAGUAAGUCUCCAAAUUCAUUCAUUAACCCUCCUUCCUGUUAAAUAUUUAUCAUUAAUUUUAUUAAAUUAAAACAUAAAUUUUUAUAAAUCUAAAGUGUAAUUUAUGAGCCGGGUUAUUCAAUCCAAAAAAAAAAAAUCAGCCAAGACUCUUUGGACAAAUUGCUUGAGUAAAACCAGAAAAUGAAUAACAAUUUUGAUGGAUUUUGAUUACAAAUGAAUUGAGGCAUAAUGCCAUUACAUAUACCAUGCAUUCAGCUGGUCAAAAUGAGACAGACAUCACCUAAUCAUCAACCUAACUCCACUAAGUAGCCUUGAAACUUAUGAAAACAUAACUUGCACACAUAGGUACGCUGAUUUAUCAAUCUAUCAGCACCUAAUUACAUCAAACAUGUUACCAACUUAGUUCAAAUCAAACUAAGCAAGAAAACAUUAACUUAAAGUAACAAAAAAUGAACAGCAGCAUGAACUUCAGCUGCAACUGCAUGGCUGGAGCAGCUCUGCUUCUUGUCUGCAUGCCGGCCAACUUCAACAAGAUCUGAGUAAGGCUAAUUUGUCCAGAAGUUGCAUCAUGCAAAACUAUUUAAUGGCUUUUAGGUAGCUUUGUCAACGGCAAAAAAAAUGAGAAAAUUAGUCAAAUUUCUUCCAUUUUUAUCUUUAAAAAUUUGGUUUUGUGCGUCAACAUGAAGUACAUGUGGCACGUACAUGCAAACUGUCUGAUUAUUUAGACAUCUACACUAGUUUUUAAAGGUAAAAAUAGAAGAAAAUUUUAAUAAACAAGACCAAUUAACUCUUUUAUCUAGCAUACAAGAAUUAUUCUAUACAUCUUUCAAUAAAUGGGGAAAAUUACAUCCACACAUUCUCCACAUUUCAGACCUGUAAUUCUAGCCAAUUGGUCACAAGCAUACAUGUCCCAUUUCAAUAUUCAAAGGUCUGCUUUGAUUAUUUUAUUUUGUGUUCUGUUGUCGCCCCAAAAUAGUUCCACUUGGCACAUCUCCAUACAUUUCAAACAUACCAAAAAUCUGCUGGCAAGCAAUACAAGACAAGUUCCAGCCACUUCAACAUUUGGCUCCUGUUCAUUGCCAAAAGAAAAAAAUAAACAUUUUUUAUAUUUAAUUGAAGGUCAAAAACACAUAAAAAGACAACCGGACAGCUAGUAUUUCAUCCAAUCUUCACAACAUGUCUGUGUGCGUGCAGAUCCUUCACUUCCCAGAAGCCUUUAGCGCGUAUUCUAUUAUAAAAUCACAGAUUACUAUUUAAAUGAUAAAUAAAUUAUUUAAAGUAUGAAAAUAUACAUGUUUUUUUUUAUUGGCUUAAGGGCGUAAAAAAUCCUUAAAUUUUUUUUUUAAAAAAGACAAUUAAAUUUCUCCUUUUUUUACACUCAAUUGAGCACUUAAAGUUUUAAAAUGCAUCAAAAAUACUCUCAAACUUCUUCCGAAAAAACAAUUAAAUCCUUAUUUUCUUUCCCACUCAAUUGGGUGCUUGAACUUUUUCAUAAUAUUUUUUUGGGCGAUUUAAUGAACCAUACAAGUUUCAAGGCUAAAAGAGGCAAAAGAAAAAGAAAAAGAAAAAGAAGCUAAAAUGACUUUUUGUUUGUAAAGUCAAAAAAUACCAAAUAAAUCAUUAUGUCUUUUUAGUUUUAAUUUUUUACUUGAUUAAAAGAGAAAUAAUUAACGAAUGAAAAAUAGCUAUUCCUAAAUAAAUUUAUCAGAAUUUAUAACAAAUGAGAUUUUAGAUUUGAAGUAUGAGGUUAUAUAUAUUAUAUAAGUAUACCUGUUUUUAUGGAAUCGGUGGAUUAUAUUUUCGACAGUCUUCUUCCCCAAGCGUAGUGAAUAGAGCACAAUUUUGUUCUUUUGGAUGGAAAAGAAUUUCUACAUUAAUUAGAUUUGGUUGACAGGCAAAUGAAUAGAUACACACAUUUUUUACGUGUUAUUAAGGAAGAAGACUAAGUCAAUCUACUUUGUAAUCUCAUCAAUCUUAAUUUUUUUAGUUGUUUAGGGAGUUCAAAUGAAAUACAAGAUUUUGCUAUAAAAAAAAAAAGCAUCCAAUUUUAAGAAUGAAAAAUAUACGGUAAAAAGAAGACUAAUGGUUGUUGAUGAUUGUGAAAAAUACAAAAAUUAUUUGUUGCCUAUAAAUACCAUUCCUAUCCUUCAUCUUCCUCUACAAACAUAACAUGGCCUCCUAUCUCUUUCUCUGCCUAUUCCUCUUCUUUCCCCAUCUUUAUGCUUCUUUUUCUUCUUCAGGAUCUCACUCCUGCUCUUCGCUAAUCCAGUUCAAGAAUUCUUUUUCCAUCACUCAGACAGAUGUUGCUUCUUCUUAUUGCGAUGAUCAAUCUUAUCCCAAGACAGAUUCAUGGAAGGAGGGUACAGAUUGCUGCUCAUGGGAUGGGGUCACUUGUGACCACCUAAAUGCUCGUGUUAUUGUCCUUGACUUGAGUUGCAGUUGGCUAUAUGGCAACUUCCCUUCCAAUACCACUCUCUUCCUUCUUCCUCACCUUCAAAAACUCAACCUUGCCUACAAUUAUUUUAAUCUUUCCAAAAUUCCAUCCGAGUUCGGUCGGUUUAUAAGCCUAUUCUACCUCAACCUUUCCAAUACAGGGUUUGCAGGAGAAGUCCCAUCCCAAGUCUCCCACCUGUCAAAAUUGGUUUCACUUGAUCUCUCCUGUCGGGCUGAUGCACAAACAAUUGACAAACAUGCUCUGGAGGGACUUGUUCACAACCUAACCGAGGUCAGACAUCUGUUUUUGGAUGGAAUCAACAUGUCUUCUGUUAAUGCUCAUGUCUUCAUGAAUCUAUCCUCUUCUCUAAGGUCUCUCAGUCUUGCUUUUUGUGAUUUGCAAGGAAAAUUCCCAAAAAACAUUUUUGAUUUGCCAAACCUCAAUCUCCUCAACUUGGGAGGCAACCAAAACCUCAAUCUUGAUCCUUUGAAGUUCAAUCGGAGCAGCAAUCUUGAACAUUUGGAUCUGUCGUGGAUGUCCUCCUCUACAGAAAUUGAUUCAGUUGAUAAUCUACAGGCCUUAAAGUACUUAGAUCUAUCAGGAAAUUCUUUCUUUCAAGGAUUGUCUGUCUCAAUCACAAAUUUAUCAUCUUUGGAGUACUUGAUUCUUAGAGGCGCAAAUGUUUUUGGAGGAUUGCCUGACUUGACGGGGAAUCUUGUGUCCUUGAAGUUUUUAGAUCUCUCCCAGUCCAACUUAUCAGGACCGGUUCCAAGAUCACUGGGAACCUCUUGCAACUCACUCAUUUAGACUUGUCGCAGAACCAAUUGAGUGGACAAAUUCCAAGAUUAUUGGGGAACCUCUUUCAACUCACUCAUUUAGACUUGUCGUGGAACCAAUUGAGUGGACAAAUUCCAAGAUCAUUGGGGAACCUCUUGCAACUCACUCAUUUAGAUUUGUCGAUGAACCAAUUGAGUGGACAAAUUCCAAGAUCAUUGGGGAUCAUUGGGGAACAUCUUGCAACUCACUCAUUUACUUGUCGGUGAACCAAUUGAGUGGACAAAUUCCAAGAUCAUUGGGGAACCUCUUGCAACUCACUCAUUUAGACUUGUCGGUGAACCAAUUGAGUGGACAAAUUCCAAGAUCAUUGGGGAACCUCUUGCAACUCACUCAUUUAGACUUAUUGGUGAACCAAUUGAGCGGACAAAUUCCAAGAUCAUUGGGGAACCUCUUGCAACUCACUCAUUUACAGUUGCCGGUGAACCAAUUGAGUGGAAAAAUUCCAAGAUCAUUGGGGAACCUCUUGCAUCUCACUCAUUUACACUUGCCGAUGAACCAAUUGAGUGGACAAAUUCCAUUGUCAAUUCUAAACCUAACGCAGCUGGAAUACUUUGUAAUAUCUAAAAAUUCUUUAGAAGGUUCCAUUCCAGAUGAGGUAACCGCUUUUCCUAAUCUAAUAUAUUUACACUUAAAUGACAAUUUACUCAAUGGAACAUUUCCGUCAUGGUUGUUUACUGCUCCCUCCUUAAAGGAAAUAUAUCUCUCUCAAAAUCAAUUCAGUGGGCAUAUCAAAGAAUUCCAAUCCAAAUCACUAGAAUUGAUAGCGUUACAGAAUAAUAAACUCCAUGGUUCUCUUCCAUCUUCAAUAUUCCAACUUCUCAAUCUUACCGACCUCGUUUUAUCCUCAAAUAAUCUUAGUGGUGUCAUAGAGUUUCGCAUGUUCUCAAACCUUCCAAAUCUAAAACAUCUCGACCUUUCAUAUAACAGCCUAUCCUUAACAUCUAAUACUACUUCUACUGUUAAUCAUAUAUUGCCUAAUCUUACAGGCUUACUUUUGUCAUCUUGCAAUCUUGGUGAAUUCCCCCAAUUUUUAAAAGGGCUUAAAAGUUUGGAAAGCUUAGACCUCUCUUGCAACAAAAUUGAAGGCAAGAUUCCACAGUGGAUGCAAGAGGUGGGGAAUGUCUCUUUGACUUACUUAAACGUAUCUCACAACUCUUUGACGAAGUUGAGCACUUUCCAUGGAAGAAUAUUGAAUUUCUUGACUUAAGCUCCAAUUUGAUCAGUGGAAAUCUUCCGAUUCCAGCUUCGACCAUCAAUGUCUUUUUGAUCUCAAAUAAUAGUUUCAAUGGAGAGGUCUCUUCUUUAAUAUGCAAUGCCAGUUCUCUUCGAAUUCUUGAUUUGUCCCACAAUAACUUGAGUGGAACAAUUCCGCAAUGUUUUGGAAAUUUGAGCAACAGCCUUGAAUUCUUGAAUCUGAAGAAGAACAUGUUUUAUGGGACGAUUCCUCCAACAUUUGCAAAGGGAUGCCAAUGGAGUAAUUUCAACUUAAAUGGAAAUUUGUUAGAAGGGCCUUUGACACCAUCCAUCCUUAAUUGUAAUGGUCUGGAAGUGCUAGAUCUUGGUAACAACAAGAUCAAUGAUACAUUUCCUCAUUGGUUGGGAAAUCUUCCAUAUUUGCAAGUUCUUGUAUUGAAGUUAAAUCAUAUGCAUGAUUCCUUGCGUGUCAAUAGCUCCAAGUCUAGCCCUUUUUUCUCUAAAAUCCAAAUUUUUGACCUCUCAAGUAAUUAUUUUACUGGACCCCUACCAGUGAGAUACAUCAACAGCUUCAAGGCUAUCAUAAAUCUAGAGAAGAUUGGGAGUACAUUGUUGUACAUGGGGGUGUAUGAUCGGAUUGCUAGUGGCUUCUAUACCUAUUCCAUUGGAAUUGUUAUGAAAGGACAAGAUAUGGAAUUGGUGAAAAUUUUCACCAUGUGGAUGAUCAUUGAUCUAUCAAACAAUCAGUUUGAAGGGGGUAUUCCAAAGGUUAUUGGGAAGCUUAACUUACUGAAAGGGCUCAACCUUUCUCAUAAUAACCUUAAUGGUGGUAUCCCCACCUCAACAGGGAAUUUGACAAGUCUUGAAUGGUUAUGUAGUUUUAGAUGUUAAGGAUAGGCUGUUAUAUGAAAGGUCGCGAUGUUUUAGAUUUGGAAGGUUUGAGAACAUGCGAAGCUCUAUGACACCACUAAGAUUAUUUGAGGAUAAGCUGAGGGAGGUAAGAUUGAGAAGUUGGAAUAUUGAAGAUGGAAGAGGACCUUCGAGUUUAUUAUUUUCUAGAUCUAAAUAUUCUAGUGAUUUGGUUUGGAAUUCUUUGAUAUGACGGAAGUGUUCCAUUGAGUAAAUUGUCAAAUAACACUAAAUAUAUUAGAUUCGGAACAGCGGUUACCUCAUCUGGAAUAGAACCUUCUAAAGAAUUUUCAGAUAUUUCCAAGUAUUCCAACUGCGUUAGGUUUAGAAUUGACAAUGGAAUUUGUCCACUCAAUUUGUUUGAUCCCAAGUCUAAAUGAGUGAGUUGCAAGAGGUUUCCAAGUGAUCUUGGACCGGUCCUGAUAAGUUGGAAUCGGAGAGAACUAAAAACUUCAAGGACACAAGAUUCCCCAUCGAGUCAGGCAAUCCUCCAAAAAAAUUUGCGCCUCUAAUAAUCAAGUACUCCAAAGAUGAUAAAUUUGUGAUUGAGGCAGACAAUCCUUGAAAGAAAGAAUUUCCUGAUAGGUCUAGGUACUUUAAGGCCUGUAGAUUAUCAACCGAAUCAAUGAAUUCUGUAGAGAAGGACAUCCACGACAGAUCCAAAUGUUCGAGAUUGCUGCUCCGAUUGAACUUCAAAGUAUCAAGGUUGAGGUUUUGGUUACGUCCCAAGUUGAGGAGAUUGAGGUUUGGCAAAUCAAAAAUGUUUUUUGGGAAUUUUCCUUGCAAAUCACAACCAGCAAGACUGAGAGACCUUAGAGAAGAGGAUAGAUUCAUGAACACAUGAGCAUUAACAGAAGACAUGUUGAUUCCAUCCAAAAACAGGUGUCUGACCUCGGUUAGGUUGUGAACAAGUCCCUCCAGAGCAUAUUUGUCAAUUGUUUGUUCACCAAACACAGAGGAGGAGAGAUCAAGUGAAACCAAUUUUGACAGGUGGGAGACUUGGGAUGGGACUUCUCCUGCAAACCAUGUAUAAGAAAGCUUGUAAACCGACCGAACUCGGACCUAUCUUCAAACAUAUUAAAUACCCAUUCACUUCAAUUCUACUAUUCUUAAAUCAUUAAAGUUUUGUGGAAAAUAUGCUUCUUGGAUAAAAAUUAUUCAACACACAUGCCUUGAAUUUUAUGCAAUAAAAUAAAUCAAUAUAGGCCACACAUGCUUUGAAUUUUUAAGUAGUCCACAAUUUUGUUCGUUUGUGUGCAAGAUUCUACAUUGCUUGACAGCCAUACAUACUAAGUAAAUAGACACCCACAUUGUUUACGUAUUAUGAGGAAGAAGAUUAAGUCAAUCUACUUUGUAAUCUCAUCAAUCUUAAUUUUCUCAGUUGUUUAGGGAGUUCAAAUGAAAUACAAAAUUUUGGAAAAAAAAUGUAUCCAAUUUUGUGAAUGAAAAAUAUAUGGUAAAAAGGAUUUGGUAUGGAUACUUCGGCCCGGGUAUCAAUACUCAGAGUAAGUUAAAGCAUCAGUGGAUGAAGAAGGAUCUGGUUGGUGCAAAUGAAGUUAAAGCAUUUGUGCUGUGUCUUCAUAAUUUCUUGUUUAGUAGUCUGUCAGAAAGUUUUUCCUAUGGUGAAAAGUUGCAUUGGUAUGUGUCUGUUUUUAUGAUUGUACCAAUUCCUCUGUAUUUCAUUGCAUUUCGUACUAUUUGUAAGGGUUUAGUUCGAGUGUAACAUCUUGUAUGGUGCAACUAUGUGUGUCUUCUUUCUUGAAUUUCAAUUUUUAGUAAACAUUGUACUGCUCACCAUAAAAAAGGAUACAUGUAGAAUUACAAAAGAUUCAAUUAUUCAAGUUUGAGUUGCAUUUAUAAAGACGUGGCGAUGAGAAUUCAUGAACGUAAGGUAUGGUUUGAGCCCUUUUGCCAUAUGCAUUUAUGUUGCAGAUGUUCAAAUAUUAAUUUAAGAGUAAUAUUUACAAUAGCAUUGCAGAGUAACAUAUUUAAGAUUGGAUUACACAGUCAAAAGAUUGCAGCAACGAUGAGAUUAAUACAAUUACAGGAAUUGGUAUCCUACAUGGCUUUUAGGCACGUAGCUUCAUUGACGAUGAGAUAAUUUUAGGAGGAAGCAACAGCAAGUGUGAAGUCAAUAGACAAUUGAUAGUCUUUAUUCUUUUGUGUGGAAAAUUAUUUGGGACCAAACUUAACGUGUUAUAAGGAAGAAGACUUUGUAAUCUCAUGAAUGUUAAUUAUUUUACUUCUUUGGUAAAAAAAAAGGAAUUAAUUUUAUGAAUGAAAAAUAUAUGGUAAAAAGGAAAUAGUUGUUGAUCACUAACAACAUGAUGAUUGUGGAAAUACAAAAAUUCCCAUAUAUGUGUUGAAUUCUGCAUAAUGUAAAUGUCCCGCAUUGCAUGUGAAUUCUGCAAUAGACCAAAUUUUACGUGUUAUAGUCCUUUAAACUGAGUUAAUGAAAAGUAAUCAUUCUUAUCAAAAUUAGUUAUACUCUUAAUUUAUAAUAAAAGAAAGAGUAAUUUGAGUUUAACUCAAAGGUUAAUAUGUCAUCAAUGGGCGAUGGCAUGGCGCUACCAUGUCAGCGAUUAUUUUCUUCUUUGAGUUAAGGUGAUUUCACCAAUUUUAGUUUACUUUUUAACUUCAAUUUAGGUUUAUGCUUAUUAGCUUCGAAGAUUCUAUGUGGGUGCCACAAUCAAAGGGUGAGUAAAAAGGGUUAAAAAUAAUUUUUUUUAAAAUAUUUUUAUUUUUAUUAAAAAUUUAGAAUUAGAAUUAGACAAAUUUUGUAAAUGUUAAGGGCUAACUUUAUUGAAUUUUUUUUUUCAGAAUUCGAACUAAAAUGACAAAUUUUGUAAAAAGCGCUAAAUUUGUUGAAUUUUUUAUAUUUAAGAUCAAAUUGAUAGAAUGUGUAAAUAUUAGAGGUUAAAUUCGUUAUUAGAUAAAAAAAAUCCACAUCAGCUUUCCGUCACUCAUCUAACGACAACUAAAGGGAGAGUGAUUAAAAUAUUUAAUUUCAAAAAGUUUAGCAACUAAUUGGAAAAUUUAAUAGUUGGGUGACUAUUUUUAUAGUUUACAACUUUUUUGGUCACAUGACUAUUAAGUGACACUUUUUAGUUGGUAUAAUAAUAAUUUUUAUCCUCAAUUUUUAUACUUUCUGUCAAUUUAACUCUAAUUAUAUAAAAUGAUUACAAAAGUGAAAUUCUUUUUAAAUUUUACAAAAUUCUAAAAAUUAAAAAUUAAAUGAAAGUAGAUAAAAAUUUCAAAUAUAAAUAAAGUGAGAGAAAAUGAGGGAAAUAUUAUUUUUAAACCCUCCAAAUUUUCUUUGUAUUAUUUGUAAAGAAAUAUCUAAUAUCCAUUCUUUUAGAAAACAUAGAAAAAAGUAAAAAAAAAAAAGAUUAAGUAAAAUUAUCUGUAUAUAAUCUGCUUUUAUAAUUUGGGUUUUUAAAAAUAAAUUUAAAUGAAUUGAAAAUUCGAAUUGAGUUUGAAAAAGAAAAUUUUGUGGUAUAUUUUAUAUUUUUGCUAGAAAAAUGGCAUCAAAGUUGAUUUUGUAAGCUUUUGUAAUAUAGUUACGGAUGUUCUUCAAGGGCAUGAAACUCAACUUGAAAAUUUUACUAAUUUGGUUGCAAAAAACAUUGAGGAAGCGUAUAAUGAUCUAACCUUUUUUUUGUUUUGUUCUGUUUUUAAUUUGUUAUGGGAUUCUAUUGAAUGAUAAUUUUUUUUAUUUCCCAUACAUAUUAGUUCUUCAACAACAACAUAUUCGAGAUUUUAUUUUUCUAGAAUUUUUAUAUAGAAGUUUAUAUUUUUUAAAAAUAAUUUUGAGUUUUUUUUAUAAUUUUUAUACAGAAGUUUAUAUUUUUUAAAUUGGCAAAAAAAAUUAUAAAAACAAAAUACUAGAAUUGUUAUUAUAGCAACUACAAAGUGUCAUUUAACAAUAGGGUGACCAAAUUGUAACUUUUUUCGUUAAGUGACCAAAACGAAGAUUUACCCAUAGUUCAGUGGCUAAUUAUGUAGUUUACCUUUUCAUAAUUAAAAAAUAGUUGUUAAGUUUUUCUUGUAUUAGAUAACAUUUUAGAUGGUAAAAACCCUCUUUAGUCCCUCUCAAUUUUGAUAUUAAGUAAAUUGGUCCAUUUUAAAAAAAAUUAAAGCAAUUUAAUCUUUGUUAAUUUCGAAAGUGAGCAACUAAGAACAAUUAAUCACAAUGUCAAUAUUUUCCAUCAAUUGUACAUAUUUUUAUUGGUAUAAUAACAAGUUUAUAAACUUGUUUACAUAUUCUGUCAAUUUGAUCUUGAUUUAACAAAUUUAUCCCGCAACAAUUACAUAUUCUAUUAACAUUUACAUAUAAUAUAUAAACAUCGAGAGCUUAUUUUGUUAUUAUAUCAAUAAAAAAUAUAUACAAUUUACAGAAAGUAUUAACACAAUGAUUAAUUGUUCUUAGUUGCUCCCAUUCAAAAUUGAUAAUGAUUAAAUUGCUCUAAUUUUCUGAGAGGAAUCAAUUUGUUCAAUAUAGAAAUUGAGAGGGACGAGAAAUGUGUUUUUAUCCAUUUUAGAUACCAACAAGUGUUUGGCGUAGUGGCAAAUCAUAUUACAUUCUCAAGGAGAUAAUGCGUAUUCAGACGUUGGAGAUAAUAAUGUUGUGUGCGGUAUCCACCGAUCUUGAACACGAAUUGUAAAACAUAUAUAAAGAAUAAAAAAAUAACAUCUUAAUUUAAAUAAUUAAUAAAUUUUAAUUUGAAAAAAUUAUUUUGAGAAACAUAAGUUUUAGUAAGUAGUAAAACUGAAUUAAUUUGAAUUUAAACUUAACGCAACUCGAUUUGAUUAUAAAGAAGUGAUAAUUUGAAUCCAAAAUGACAUGAUCUUAAAAUGAUUUGAAUUAAUUGUCAAACCCGAACGACAAAACUCGAAAUGAUGCAAUCCAAAAACGCUGGUUAAAAUGAUGCAAUCCAAUCGUAGUAAGUUUAACCUGCUGCUUUAGAUUUUGCAUUUUGGUUAAUUGGCUUGUGUUAUGUGUUUCUCUGGCAUCAGCCGAUAUGUGGAUUUGCCUCUCGUGAUGCACUACCAUUCAAGAAGCAUAAUGAUUUGUUCUACAUUGAUGACAAAGAUGUGGAGUUUAAAGAAGUAAGAACUGAUCAACAAUAUUCGAGGUUCUGUUGUAUGUUGCCUUAUUAAAUAAGUCUUCACUUAAAUUCCUAUGUUGCCUUAUGUAUGUAGGUUCUUGAGUCACCUUUACCAAAAGCACCACUUGAUACAUCUGUUACAUCCCACUGGCUUGCGAUUGAAGGCAUUCAACCAGCAAUUCCCGAAAAUGCUUCAAUUGAAGGUACCGUCUUAGCUAACCUAAAUAUUUUCUCGAAGCUAUUUGUGUUGAAUACUCUCAUGGUUCAUGUUCUUUUCUGGUUUUAUCACUUUAAUCUAAUACGACUUAUCUUCAUUUCUACAUGGAAUUGGUAGUUUGCUUUCCAUGCAGCACCUUCUGAUGGUAAAAAGGCUGAAUACAAAGAAGAUGGGCUUUCCGUUGAUGUCAAAUUACCUGUUAAGCAUGUAUUAUCUAGAGAGCUUCAAGUAUGUUGUACAUCUUCAGCAACAUUUUUAUGUUAAAAUACAUUUUGCACAGAAUGUUAUUAAAAGACUAAUUUGGUUGUCAUGCAGCUUUACUUUGACAAGAUCGUGGACAUUACCAUGAAUAAAUCAGUCUCAGUUCUCUUUAAACAAGCAUUACUGAGUUUGGCAACAGACUCGGGAUUACAUCCUUUAGUUCCUUAUUUUACAUAUUUCAUUGCGGAUGAGGUUGUCUUAAAGAUCUUUGAUACCUCAUUAUAUAUGUGUGUUGCAAAGAACUUUUGGUUGGUUAUCUCAAGCUUACAUUUUUGCCACAUUUAUCUCAGGUUGCACGGAAUUUGAAUAAUUUCCCUCUCAUGUUUGCUUUGAAGCGUAUUUGCAGCUUCUUGAACCUGAAAUAAAAAGACACGAGGCCUGGUGUGUUUAUGGGGCCCUGCUGGUAAGUUUAACAUCAAAUUUGGUACCAGUUUAUGAGCAUCGUUUCAUUUAUUUGCUGUAGAACUAACAACACUGCAUAAAAUUUCCACUAACAGCGUGCAGCUGGACUGUGCAUGUAUGAUCGGCUUAAAAUGUUCCCCAGUUUGCUAGCACCCCCAACUCGUCCCAUCUGGAAAAGCAACAACAAAGUUGCGACAAGUAUGAUUUCUUCGAACCAUCAUAUUUACACUUAAUCCACAAGUCUCUUCUCCCCCUUUACGAUAUUCCUUUUUCUGAUCAAUCAAGAUAAACGAAAAGCAAGCACGGACACCUUGAUGCAGCAGCAACCACCUGCCAAGAAAAUAGCAACUGAGAGUGCAAUAGGUAUGAUGCCGAUAAAUUCCACGCAAACUGAUUUACAAGGGGCAGUUAGCGGCUUUUCUACCACCGUAGGAGGUUCCAAUAUCGGUGUAUCAUCAAUGUCACGGCCGUUAUCAAACGAAAACAUGCUAGGAAGGGAGGUUGGGGGUCGAGUUUCAAAGACAUCAACCGUUCUAGCUCAGGCUUGGAAGGAAGACACAGACCCGGGGAACUUGUUAGCAUCAUUAUUUGAACUUUUUGGUGAAAGUAUGUUAUCAUUUACUCCCAAACCUGAGCUUUCAUUCUUCCUUUGAUUAAAUUUCACCUCCAAAAGCUAUGGUUUUUGAAGGAAUUUGUGUAAAUUAUCCCCAUAUUCUUUUCAUUCUUACUGUGUUUAUCUUUGUAAGUCUUCCUUUUUUCCUUGCUCAUAAAUGUAUUGUAGUUAUCAAAAAAUAUAUUCUACUUUGGAUUUUAUUUAUAUUAAAAUUUAGGUUAAAUUCUGCUAUUAGUCUCUGUACUUUACGAAAAUGAUGGAUUUAGUCCUUAUACCUUAAUUUGAUCAAUUUUAGUCAUUGUAUUUUUUGAAUUGGUCAAUUUUAAACCAUUUACUUUUUGAAUUUUGAAAUUUUAGUCUUGAUUCAAAUAAUAUUAAUAAUAAUUAAUACCUAAACAAUGCUCCUUUUCCCAAGGUACCUAAUUUUUAUUUUGGCCAUAAGUAUUACUAAAACUAUUCUUCCAUUACUCAUUUUACACCAAAAUGUUAUAUCGGCUAAAAAGAUUCCAACAAAUAAUAGAUUGUAUGUCAUAUAAGCUUUUAAAAAUAAUUAUUAAUUAAUUAAUUUUUUUAUAUUUUUCUUUCUUAUUCCUUUAUAAUGUUUGACAAUGCCGAUAAUGUUUGAAAUUGGCCCACUUGAGGUCGAAACGUUGGUGAUUAAUUUUGGUUUUGAAUUUCACCACCUACUUCUCUGACCUGAGGGAAACUAGUGUUUUCAAAAACAGAUUGAUUCAACUAGUUGGAUAGGAAAUCGGUCCGGAAAUAGGGGUUGAAUCGAUUGACUUGCGAACAAAAACAAAUCGGUUGAACUAGUUCUCUCCAUUUAUAUUUAUAUAAAUAAUAAUAGUUUUUUUUUACUACAUGUCAAUUUUUAAUUGGUUAAUUUUUUUUUUCAUAUAAACUGAACGGUUUGACUAAUGACGGAGGUACCAAAUUUUAGUCUAGGUACCAAUUUAUGGGUUAAGCCUAUUUCUAAAAUAGACUUUUGACUAAUGGCAGUAGUAACUUGGGAAAAAAAAGUAGUUUAUGUACCACUUGUGACAAAAAAUAAGUUUAGGUACCAACAUGGGAAAAUGAGUAUAAUUUAGAUACCGAUUUAUGAGUUAAGCCUAAUAUAUUUGUCGCAUCAUUUUUUGAAAAUAACAAAACUUAAUAAAUUUAACGGUUAUUGUUUGGUGAUGACUAAAAUUUUAAAAUUUGAAAAGUAGAUGAACUAAAAAUGACCAAAUUAAAGUAUAAAGAUUAAGUCCACAACUUUUGCAAAGUAUAAGGACUAAUAGCAGAAAUUAACCUAAAUUUCAUAUGGGUCAAUUACAAAAAUAAUCACUAAACUAUUCCUUUAGUUCUAUUCUAGUCACUCAACUAUAGAGGUGCUCAUGAGCCUGGCCAGGUCAGGCCUAAGCAUGAUAUUAAAGUACUUUAUGCUUGCUCAAGCUCGGCUCGGCCCAAAAUAUGAGCUUAAAAUUUUGCCUAAACUCAUCCAUAUUUGCAAAAGACUAACCCAAGCUCAUUUUAGGCAUGCCCAUAUAAUUUUUAGUUUUUUUUUUAAAUAUUUAUAUUAUAUUAUUUUAAUAUUUAAUAAUUUAAAUAUUUUUUAUUUAUUGAAAAUUUUUAUAUAGUCAUCUUAACAUUAUUUUAAUGUUUACAUUAUAGUAUUAUUAUAUAUUUAAUAUAAGUUUAUUUUUUUAAUCUGUUCUAAAUUAUAAAAUAUAAAGUAUUAUACACUUAAAAAUGGGCCGGGCUGGGCUCGAGCUUUGAAUGUUCAAGCCUAAACCCAGCUCAUAUUUUAAACGGGCCUAAUUUAUCACCCUUUGAUUUAUCAAAAUUUAUAACAAAUGAGAUUUUAGAUUUGAAUUAUGAGGCUAUAUAUAUAUAUAAGUAUACACAUUUUUAUGAAAUACAAAAUUUUGCUAAAACAAAAAGCAUAUAAAAGUAUACACGUUUUUAUGAAAUAAAAGAAAAAGCAUCCAAUUUUGAGAAUGAAAAAUAUAUGGUAAAAGCAUCCAUAACUUUUCAAUGUUAAAGAAAAAAAAGACUUAACACCAAUGUUGUGGUAUUAUUUGUUGCCUAUAAAUACCAUUCCUAUCCUUCAUCUUCCUCUACCAACAUAACAUGGCCCCCUGUCUCUUUCUCUGCCUAUUCCUCUUCUUUCCCCAUCUUUAUGCUUCUUUUUCUUCUUCAGGAUCUCACUCCUGCUCUUUACUAAUCCAGUUCAAGAACUCUUUUUCCAUAACAGAGGCUGCUUAUUCGUCUUGCGGCCCUAAAUCUUAUCCCAAGACAAAUUCAUGGAAGGAGGGUACAGAUUGCUGCUCAUGGGAUGGGGUCACUUGUGACCACCUAAAUGCUCAUGUUAUUGCCCUUGACUUGAGCUGCAGUUGCCUAUAUGGCACCUUCCCUUCCAAUACCACUCUCUUCCUUCUUCCUCACCUUCAAAAACUCAACCUUGCCGGCAAUGAUUUUAAUCUUUCCAAAAUUCCAUCCGAUUUCGGUCAGUUUACAAGCCUAUUCUACCUCAACCUUUCUUAUACAGGGUUUGUAGGAGAAGUCCCAUCCCAAGUCUCCCACCUGUCAAAAUUGGUUUUACUCGAUUUCUCCUCUUGGCCUGCUUUCUCUAUGCAAUAUAGAAUGGACAAACAUGCUCUGGAGGGACUUGUUCACAACCUAACCGAGGUCAGACAUCUGUUUUUGGAUGGAAUGGACAUGUCUUCUGUUAAUGCUCAUGUCUUCAUGAAUCUAUCCUCUUCUCUAAGGUCUCUCAGUCUUGCUGGUUGUGGUUUGCAAGGAAAAUUCCCAAAAAACAUUUUUGAUUUGCCAAACCUCAAUCUCCUCUACAUGGGAGGCAACCAAUUGAGUGGACAAAUUCCAAGAUCAUUGGGGAACCUCUUGCAGCUCACUCAAUUAGACUUAUCGGGGAUCCAAUUGAGUGGACAAAUUCCAUUAUCAAUUCUAAACCUAACGCAGCUUGAAUACUUAGGCUUAUCUGACAAUUUACUAACCUAAUAUAUUUAGGCUUAUCUGACAAUUUACUCAACGGAACACUUCCGUCAUGGUUGUAUACUGCUCCCUCCUUAAAGACAAUAUAUCUCUCUCAAAAUCAAUUCAGUGGGCAUAUCAAAGAAUUCCAAUCCAAAUCACUAGAACGGAUAUGGUUAGAGAAUAAUAAACUCCAAGGUCCUCUUCCAUCUUCAAUAUUCCAACUUCUCAAUCUUACAUCGCUUGCUUUAUCCUCAAAUAAUCUUAGUGGUGUCAUAGAGUUUAGCAUGUUCUCAAACCUUCCAAAUCUCAAAUAUCUCCACCUUUCAUGUAACAGCCUAUCCUUAACAUUUAAUACUACUUCUACUGUUAAUCUUACAGACUUAUUUUUGUCAUCUUGCAAUCUUAGUGAAUUCCCCAGUUUUUAAAAGGGCUGAAAAGUUUGGAAAGCUUAGACCUCUCUUGCAACAAUAUUGAAGGCAAGAUUCCACAGUGGAUGCAAGAGAUGGGGAAUGACUCUUUGACUUUCUUAAACGUAUCUCACAACUCUUUGACAGAAGUUGAGCACUUUCCAUGGAAGAAUAUUGAAUUUCUUGACUUAAGCUCCAAUUUGAUCCGUGGAAAUCUUCCGAUUCCAGCUUCGACAAUCAAUGUCUUUCUGAUCUCAAAUAAUAGAUUCAAUGGAGAGGUCUCUUCUUUAAUAUGCAAUGCCAGUUCUCUUCAAAUUCUUGAUUUGUCCCACAAUAACUUGAGUGGAACAAUUCCACAAUGUUUUGGAAAUUUGAGCAACAGCCUUGAAUUCUUGAAUCUGAAGAAGAACAAGUUUUAUGGGACGAUUCCUCCAACAUUUGCAGAGGGAUGCCAAUUGACUAAUUUCAACUUAAAUGGAAAUCUGUUAGAAGGGCCCUUGACACCAUCCAUCCUUAAUUGUAAGGGUCUGGAAGUGCUAGAUCUUGGUAACAACAAGAUCAAUGAUACAUUUCCUCAUUGGUUGGGAAGUCUUCCACAGCUACAAGUUCUUGUAUUGAAGUCAAAUCAUAUGCAUGGUCCCUUAUGUGUCAAUAGCUCCAAGUCUAGCCCUUUUUUCUCUAAAAUCCAAAUUUUUGACCUCUCAAAUAAUUAUUUUUCUGGACCCCUACCAGUGAGAUACAUCAACAGCUUCAAGGCUAUCAUAAAUCUAGAGAAGAUUGGGAGUACAAUGUCGUACAUGGGGAUGAAUGAUCCUCAAGGUGGCUUCUAUACCUCCAAAUGUGCUUGAAAAAGAUGGCCCAAAAUCAAACAUUACUUUUGGUUGGAAAGUGGUGUUGAUAGGUUAUGGAUGCGGAGUGGUGUUCGGAAUGUCCGUGGGAUAUGUUGUUUUCCAAACUGGUAAGCCGAAAUGGUUGGUGAAUUUGGUUGAAAUCCAACAUGAGAAGAAGUGAAGACGAAAGUCAAAGGAUGGCAGCCGCAGCAAUGGACGAAGAAGGAUCUAGUUAGUGGAAAUGGUGCUCAAGUGUUGAUGUUGUAUCUUCAUAAUUUCUUGUUUUGAAGUCUUUCAAUUUUUUUCCUAUGGUGAAAGGUUGCAUUGCCAUGCAUCUGUCUUUAUUAUUGUAACCAUUCAUCUAUAUUUCACUGCAUUAUGCAGUAUUAUGUCUUCUUUCAUGACUUUGAUUUUUGAGUCUCAAUAAUCUCUGCAUUCAAGAUUUUGUCAGCUUAUUAAUUGGUGGAUCAAUAAUCUUCAUGCUCAUCUCAUCAUCUUUUUCUCGAGUUAAACACAAUUUCUUCCGUGUGGAAAAUAAUUUGGCAUUCUGCAAAUUUCCACAAUGCUGGUAGAUUACCUUCGGUUGACAGCUAUACAUAUCAAGGAAGGAAACAAGACCAUGUCAAAAUUUUCAAAAAUUAGCCAUUGAUUUUGAACAGUUAAACUUUCGUAUUCUAUUGUUCAAAAUUGUAAAUUCUCGAAUAAUGUAAAUUAGUCCUAAAACUCAAGUUUUGAAAUCUUUACAAUUUAACCCCUUAUAGUUUCAAACUUUACUAUUUUAUGCUCAACUUUCUAAAUUUUCAUAUUUCAUGAUCAUAUAAUUUAGUUACUACAUCAAUAUUUCAGAUUUCACUACUCAAAUCCUUACUUCAAAUUUAUCAAAUUAAAUCAUUUUUCAAUUUGAAUGCAUUGAUGUGAAAUUGAGGGAGCACUAAACAAUGUUGAUGCGAGUUUAGGCAAAAUUGGUGGAUCCCAUCUCCUUAGUAAUUUCUUUAUGGAAGUAGCUGCUUUCACACUGCAAACUUGGAUAGUUUGUGGUGGACGAUGAUGAAUCAUUUCACAAUCAAACAUACCAUUUUUAAACACAAAAUUAAUGAUAUAUUGAAAUCAUUAUUGAAAUUGUAAUCAAAAUUAAUACAUGUUUUUUUUAUUAGCUUAAGGGCGUAAAAGCCCUUCAAAAUUUUUAAAAAAAAAAUUUAAGUCCCUCUUUUUUUUUUCUUUUUUUUUUACACUCAAUUGAGCACUUAAACUUUUAAAAUGUAUCAAAAAUAUCUUUACACUUCUUCAAAAAAAGCAAUUAAACCCCCCUUUUUUUUUCCACUCAAUUGGGUACUUGAACUUUCAUAAUGCAUAAAAAAAACCUUAAUUUUUUUUUCAAAGAAACAAUUAAGCCUCUAUUUUUUCCCCACUCAAUUUGGGUACUUGAACUUUCAUAAUGCAUCAAAAAGGCCUUAAAUUUUUUUCAAAAAAGCAAUUAAGCCCCUACUCUUAUUAAAAAUUAGAAAAAGAAUCAUAAAAAUAAUAAAUUUUAGAAAAAAAUUAUUAAAUUUUAAUAAAAAUUUAAAAACUUAUUAAAAAUUAGAAUUUUUUUAGAAAAAUAGUCAAAACUAAAAAAUUAUAAAAAUCAUAAAAAAAAUCCAUCAAAAGUCCUUUUAACAAUUAACUUUAAAUAUUGAUCGUUAAAGUUAACGACCUCUAGUUUUUUCAAUUAAAGUCAUUAUGUGUCGCAACUCAACAUGACAUAUAGCGAAAAUAGAUAAAAAAGUAAAAAUCAAUAAAAGUUAUAGAAAAAUUAUAAAAAAUUUCUUUUGGUACAAUAAUUUUUAUAAAAUUUUUUUUUACCAAAUUUAUAUUUCUUUACAAUUUGUAUAAUUUUCUUAUGACUUUAUAAAAUUUUAUAAUUUUUUAUAUUUCUAUAUAUUUUUUAAAUUUUUAAAUUUUUAUAAAAUUUUACAAUUUUUAUAUAUUUUUUAAUAAUUUUUAAUAUUUGAAUUUUUUAUUAAAAUUUAAUAAUAUUAUAGAUUUUAUUGAUUUUAAUUUUUUCUCUAAUUUUUAAUAAAAGUAGGGGCUUAAUUGCUUUUUUUGAAAAUGUUUGAGGGCCUUUUUGAUGUAUUUUGAAAGUUCAAGUUCCCAAAUGAGUGUUAAAAAAAAAAGAACAGGGGUUUAGUUGCUAUUUUUGAAAACGUUUCUUUUUGUACCCUUAAACCUCUUUUGUUUUUCUAAAUUUAAUUUAGAACCAACUUUGUGUAAAGAAAAUUUCCAGUCUGGUGGAAAAUACAAAUUUUUCCACAUCCAAUCUGGGUCUUUGUCGUGAUUUGUUGGUUGGCUAUGGCCUUGUUGUUGUUUCCACUGCCUCUGGUCUUUGUUUCUAAGUCAUAUGUGGCCUUGUUUGGUAGACCUUAGUUGCUAAGUUAAAGGGAGUGAAUAGAGCACCAUAAAAAAAAAUACAUGUAGAAUUACAAAAGAUUCAAUUAUUCAAGUUUGAGUUGCAUUUAUAAACACGUGAUGAUGAGAAUUCAUGAACAUAAGGUAUGGUUUGAGCCCUUUUGCCUUAUGCAUUUAUGUUGCAGAUGUUCAAACAUGGAAUAAUUCAACCUGCCUUUGUGUAUUCUUAAUUUUGUGCCAAACCUAAAUAUCUAUCGACAAAUUUAAGAGUCAUAUUUACAACAGCAUUGCAGAGUAACACAUUUAAGAUUCGAUUACACUGUCAAAAGAUUGCAGCAACGAUGAGAUUAAUCCAAUUACAGGAAUUAAUAUCCUAAAUGGCUUUUAGGUACGUAGCUUCAUUGACAACAUGAUAAUUGUGGAAAUACAAAAAUUCCCAUAUAUGUGUUGAAUUCUGCAUAAUGUAAAUGUCCCGCAUUGCAUGUGAAUUCUGCAAUAGACCAAACUUUACGUGUUAUAGUCCUUUAAACUGAGUUAAUAAAAAGUAACCAUUCUUAUCAAAAUUCGUUAUACUCUUAAUUUAUAACAAAAGAAAGAGUAAUUUGAGUUUAACUCAAAGGUUAAUAUGUCAUCAAUGGGCGAUGGCGUGGCGCUACCAUGUCAGCGAUUAUUUUCUUCUUUGAGUUGAGGUGAUUUCACCAAUUUUAGUUUACUUUUUUACUUCAAUUUAGGUUUCAGCUUAUUAGCUUCGAAGAUUCUAAGUGGGUGCCACAAUCAAAGGGUGAGUAAAAAGGGUUAAAAAAUGAUUUUUUUAAAAAUAUUUUUAUUUUUAUUAAAAAUUUAGAAUUUGAAUUAGACAAAUUUUGUAAAUGCUAAAGGCUUUAUUGAAUUUUUUUUUCAGAAUUCGAACUAAAAUGACAAAUUUUGUAAAAAGCGCUAAAUUUGUUUAAUUUUUAUAUUUAGGAUCAAAUUGAUUGAAUGUGUAAAUAUUAGAGGUUAAAUUUGUUAUUAGAUCAAUAAAAAAAAACCCACAUCAGCUUUCCGUCACUCAUCUAAUGAAAACUAAAGGGAGAGUGAUUAAAAUAUUUAAUUUCAAAAAUUUUAGCAACUAAAUUGGAAAAUUUAAUAGUUGGGUGACUAUUUUUGUAGUUUACAACUUUUUUGGUCACCUGACUAUUAAGUGACACUUUUUAGUUGGUAUAAUAAUAAUAAUUUUACUCCUCAAUUUUUUAUACUUUCUGUCAAUUUAACUCUGAUUAUAUAAAAUGAUUACAAAAGUAAAAUUCUUUUUAAAUUUUACAAAAUUCUAAAAAUUAAAAAUUAAAUGAAAGUAGAUAAAAAUUUCAAAUAUAAAUAAAGUGAGAGAAAAUGAGGAAAAUAUUAUUUUUAAACCCUCCAAAUUUUCUUUGCAUUAUCUGUAAAAAAAUAUCUAAUAUCCAUUCUUUUAGAAAAUAUAGAAAAAAAGUAAAAAAAGAUUAAGUAAAAUUAUCUGUAUAUAAUCUGCUUUUAUAAUUUGGGUUUUUAAUAAUAAAUUUAAAUGAAUUGAAAAUUCGAAUUGAGUUUGAAAAAGAAAAUUUUGUGGCAUGUUUUAUAUUUUUGCUUGAAAAAUGGCAUCAAAGUUGAUUUUGUAAGCUUUUGUAAUAUUAGUUACGGAUGUUCUUCAAGGGCAUGGAACUCAACUUGAAAAUUUUACUAAUUUGGUUGCAAAAAACAUUGAGGAAGCAUAUAAUGAUCUAACCUUUUUUUUUUUGUUUUGUUCUAUUUUUAAUUUGUUAUGAGAUUCUAUUGAAUGAUAAUUUUUUUUAUUUCCCAUUCAUAUUACUUCUUCAACAACAACAUAUUCGAGAUUUUAUUUUUCUAGAAUUUUUAUAUAGAAGUUUAUAUUUUUUAAAAAUAAUUUUGAGUUUUUUUAUAAUUUUUAUAUAGAAUCGAGGUAAAUUGGCAAAAAGAAUUAUAAACAUAGAAUACUAAAAUUGUUAUUAUAUUAACUAAAAAGUGUCAUUUAACAAUAGGGUGACCAAAUUGUAAUUUUUUUAGUUAAGUGACCAAAACGAAGAUUCACCCAUAGUUUAGUGGCUAAUUAUGUAGUUUACCCUUUCAUAAUUGAAAAAAUAGUUGUUAAGUUUUUUGUAUUAGAUAACAUUUUAGAUGGUGAAAACCCUCUUUAGUCCCUCUCAAUUUUGAUAUUAAGUAAAUUGGUCCAUUUUUAAAAAAAUCAAAGCAAUUCAAGGAGAAUGCAUAUUCAAGCGUUGGAGAUAACAAUGUUGUGUGGGGUAUCCACGGAUCUUGAACACGGACUAUAAAACAUAUAUAAAGAAUAAAAAAAUAACAUCUUAAUUUAAAUAAUUAAUAAAUUUUAAUUUGAAAAAAGUAUUUUGAGAAACAUAAGUUUUAGUAAGUAGUAAAAUUGAAUCGAUAAAAAUGUUCGGUAUAUCAGAAUCAUAAAAAUACAACCUAAUUAAUUUGAAUUUAAACUUAACUCAACUCGAUUUGAUUAUAAAAAACUGAUAAUUUGAAUCCAAAAUCACAUGAUCUUGAAAUGAUUUGAAUUAAUUGUCAAACCCGAACGACAAAACUCGAAAUGAUGCAAUCCAAAAACACAAAUCAAGUGAACUAAACUAUGAAAGAAAAAAAAAAAACCUUACACCGACUCAAAUCCAAAAUAAUUUAAUCCUAAAAUAACCCAAAUUUUAUAUAAUAUAAACUCGAAAUAACCCGAAAAUUUUUAAAUUAAAAUUGACCCGAGCCAAAUUCACACCACCUAAAAUCAAUCAUAACCACCUAAUUAAAAAGCAUGAAAUGAAAUGAUGUAAAGAGAAAAUCAGAGAAAACCAAAUAGAAAGUAACAAGCUUUUUUCAGAAUUGAAAACAAAUUCCGUACAUUCACGACAUGCAUAAAACAACAAUGGUUUAUAGAAUUUGAGUUUUAGUCCCUGUACUUUAAAAGUUAAUUUUUCUUAAUUUAAAAAUUUUAGUUUAAUUAUUUAUGAUGGUUGUAGUUUCCGUUAGCUUAUCAACAUGUUAAAUUACUAAAUUUUGACAGAAAAUACUUACGAGUUUAAUGAUUAUUGCGAGAUUUUUAAAUAAAAAAGUUCGAAAGACUUAAUUUCUAACCUUUUAAAUAUAGGGACUAAAAGCAUCUUUUAACUUUGAUAUUAUUAUUAUAAGCAGGGAUAAUGUCACCUUUGGCAUCUGUACUUUCAUAAAAUGUUUAGUGGUACAAGUACUUUGAAAAUAUAUAAUGUGGUACCUGAACUAUCAAUAUGUGUUAUUAUUAUGGUACAUGUACUUUGAAAAUGUUUAAUGUGGUACCUAAACUAUCAAUAGAUGUUUUAUUAUGAUACUUGGUAAAGACGGACUAUUAUGGUGGCUUAGGGGGCUCUUUGUCCCGUCUCCCCUGCAAAAAAAAAAAAAAGAGUUCGGAGAAUUUUAUUUUUUCCUUUGAAAUCUUUAGAAAAUUUCAAUUAAGCCCCCAAAAUUUUUGAAAAUUUUCAUUAUACCUUUUAAUUUUUUUUUGAAAAUUUUAAUUAAGCACUUUUAAAAUUUUGAAAAUUCUCAUUAAUCUCACAAAAAAUUUAAAAUUUUUUAUUAGACCCCCAAAAUUUUUUUUUUAAAAAUCUUAUUAAACCAUUAAAUUUUUAGAAAAUUUUACUUGCCCCCUCCCCCCCCCCCCCAAAAAAAAAAACCUAGUUCCAACUCCCAGUAUCCGCCAUUGGUACUUGGUAUUAACACUAUUAGAAAAUUGCUAAAUCAACUAAUGAAAAUUUGACACAUAGAACCCUUUUUUUUUUAAUUAUCAAGUCCACGUGGAUAAUAUAAUAGUGAAAAACUAAAUAAAACAAUAAUUAAAUGAAAUUAAAAAAACAAAUAACUAAACAUAUGGUUAAUAAAAAAAACCCGUACUUUCAAAGAUAAUAAAAAAUAUUAUUUAAAAAUCAAUUGAAAAUAUUAUUUUAAAGGGAAAACUCUUUGGAGAAGAUGAUCAUUUGCUUAAAUGGAGAAUAUAAUAUUUUUGGUUAUGUAAAUUUAAUUUAAUUGUUUUAUUUAGUUUUCACAUAAUGUUAUUUUAUACAUGUGGACUUGAUGAAUUAGAAAAAGAAAAAUUGCGUGUCAAAUUUUCAUUUGUUGGUCUAACAAUUCAUUAAUGGUGUUAACAUUAAGUACCAUAAUAAAACAUAUAUUGAUAGUUCAUGUACCACAUUAGACAUUUUCAAAGUACGAAUACUACAUUAGACAUUUUAUAAAAAAUACAUGUACUAUAAUAGAACACAUAUUAAUAAUUUAGAUACACAUUAAACAUUCUAUGAAAUUACCAUUACGAAAUGUGAUAUUAUCUCUUACAAGUAUUUGAUGAGUAGGUAUAUAAGGACAAGCAGAACCACAAUUCCAAUGACAGCUAAAGGCAUGCACAUACACGACAAUCCGCCAUUGAUGUGCUUGUUCAUAAUUACCAUGUUUUUCUGCACUCUCUGAUACAACAAAGAAAAGAAAACACAAUACAAAAUUAAAACUCUAAACAACCCAAAAUUUUUUCGGGCCAGAAAUGGUCCGAAAAUUUUAAGGGUAAACUAUAUUGGUAGCCACCUAACUAUUAAUAAAUUUCUUAGUUACUCAACUAUGAAAAGAUAUUUUUGUAUAUUUUCGAUGAAGAUUUGUUAUUUUUAUUUAUUAUUAAUAAACUUGUUCUUUUUAGUCCAUUUUUGUCAUUGUAGUAAUUUAUCAUCAAAUUUGGGAAAGAAUGCCCCAUUUCUAAUACAUGAUUAUCAUAUCAAAUUGUAGUUAUUCCUAUCUAGUAAUAAACUAACCCCAAUUUAGUCUGAAAGUAGUUAAAUCACUUAAGUUUGUUGCUUAGUUUUGUUGAUAUGGACAAUUAAAAAAAUCAUAAUAUAUAUUUCCAACAAAUAUUUUCGAUAAGAUAAACUCAAAAGUAAUUCUCAAAAUUGUAGAGAAUUUUAUUACUGGAGUGAAAAAAACAUUACGAAUCAGUAAAAUAAAGUAUCGUGAAGAAAUGAUAGAGAGGAAAAUUGAAACAAACCUUGAAAAAUAAGUGUGGUUGUAAGUAAGAUGCUGGAAGCAAUAGAGGGCUGAGAAAAGUGAGAGCUACAAUGAUUGUCGUGAUUGUAGAAAGAAACGUACAGAGAGAAUUGUUAGAAUACUCAAGUUUAUGGAGAGAAUUGAGAGGGUUUAGUGUUCCCAAAAAGAAGAAGGAAAAACACAUAUAUCAUAAUGAGGUUACACUCACGUCUUAUUUAUGGUAAGCAAAGCAUUACUUAUAUGGUUUCUGUUUAACGAGAAAGGGAAGAACUUGUAUUAGAGGAAAGUGUUAAGAAGUGUCUUCUUAACAAUGUCUGUGUUUUGAGCUUCCAAGAUAUGCACUUAAGGCAUCUCAAUAGAGGAGCAAUUCAAUAAUUAUACCAAUCUUUCGGGACUAACUCUACAACCUUUGCAUAGUUGCAAUCCAAGAAUCCUGCAACCUUCUAAGGCUAGCUACACAACAUUUACGUAUUUGCAUGUAUUUUUUUUUCCAUAACACCAACUCCAACAACUUCACUUUUAUUUAUCGAAAGAAAUUGUAUUUCUUGAAACUAUUAUUUACAAAAUAUUAUUAACCAAAAUCAAGUAUCCACAAUAAUUAAUACUAAUUAAUUCAAAGAUUUUCAAUGCUAAGAAUGGAACCCAAAUUCAGCCUUUGCUACUAACCUACUAAUAAACAAAAAAAAAAUAUAUAUAUAAUAUAUAUAGGUGAAGUUAGAAAGUUUAAAAUUGAAUUAUAAAUUUUUAAAAGAGUAAAAGUUGUUAUACUAACUUAAAAUUUUAUAACUUUUUAAUUUUGUGGAGCUAAAAUCUUUGCCUAUCCUCUAACAGUGCUCAGUAUUUCUCUCAUAAUUUUUUAUUUUUUAUUAUUCUUUUUCCUUUUUAGUUGAAAAUAGUGCUAAUUAAUGUUAUUUGUUAGUAUAAUUUUGUUAGAAUCUUAUGAAUCUUUCAUGAUGUACUAUAUCUUGAUUUGUUAGGCUAAUGUGAUAAUUUCUACUUCAUGUGUAUUAAUCCAUAAAUUUUAUCAAAAGUGGAAUUUUGAAAACUUAGUUUUGGAAGUUUGAAUAUUAAGUUUAACCUCCUGCUUUAGAUUUUGCAUUUUGGUUAAUUGGCUUGUGUUAUGUGUUUCUCUGGCAUCAGCCGAUAUGUGGAUUUGCCUCUCGUGAUGCACUACGAUUCAAGAAAGCCGCUGGGCAUAAGGAUUUGUUCUACAUUGAUGACAAAGAUGUGGAGUUUAAAGAAGUAAGAACUUAUCAACAAUAUUCGAGGUUCUGUUGUAUGUUGCCUUAUUAAAGAAGUCUUCACUUAAAUUCUUCUAUGUUGCCUUACGUAUGUAGGUUCUUGAGUCACCUUUGCCAAAAGCACCACAUGAUACAUCUGUUACAUCCCACUGGCUUGUGAUUGAAGGCAUUCAACCAGCAAUUCCAGAAAAUGCUUCAAUUGAAGGUACCGUCUUAGCUAACCUAAAUAUUCUCUCGAAGCUAUUUGUGUUGAAGACUCUCAUGGUUCAUGUUCUUUUCUGGUUUUAUCACUUUAAUCUAAUACGAUUAUCUUCAAUUCUACAUGGAAUUGGUUCUGAUGGUAAAAAGGCUGAAUACAAAGAAGAUGGGCUUUCCGUUGAUGUCAAAUUACCUGUUAAGCAUGUAUCAUCUAGAGAGCUUCAAGUAUGUUGUACAUCUUCAGCAACAUUUUUAUGUUAAAAUACAUUUUGCACAGAAUGAUAUUAAAAGACUAAUUUGGUUGUCAUGCAGCUUUACUUUGACAAGAUCGUGGACAUUACCAUGAAUAAAUCAGUCUCAGUUCUCUUUAAACAAGCAUUACUGAGUUUGGCAACAGACUCGGGAUUACAUCCUUUAGUUCCUUAUUUUACAUAUUUCAUUGCGGAUGAGGUUGUCUUAAAGAUCUUUGAUACCUCAUUAUAUAUGUGUGUUGCAAAGAACUUUUGGUUGGUUAUUUCAAGCUUACAUUUUUGCCACAUUUAACUCAGGUUGCACGGAAUUUGAAUAAUUUCCCUCUCAUGCUUGCUUUGAUGCGUGUUGCCCGGAGUCUUCUCCAGAAUGAACACUUACACAUAGAACCUUACGUGAGUUUAUUAUUUCAAUCAUUUAGAAGUACACGAACUAAUGCAAAUAUGCUAGUGGUUUAUUUUCCACCUAUCUGAUUUUUUAAAAUGUUCUUCAGUUACACCAGUUGAUGCCUUCUAUUAUUACCUGCCUCGUUGCAAAAAGGUUAGGAAAUAAAUUCACCGACAAUCAUUGGGAACUUAGAAACUUCGCAGCAAAGCUAGUGGCAUCAUUAUGCAAAAGGUGAAGAUUUCUUUUCUUUUGGACUUAUACAUGCAUUUUCGUUUUUAUGAAUUUCAGGUGUCUGAUUUUUGAGUUAUAAACUUGGAUCUAUUCUUCAAAUCAUGUGUAUAUCACUUUUAUGUUAUUUCACACAUGCAAAACAUAUGGUGCAAAUGAUGUUGAAGAAUUAGUGUUGUAUUUUCAUAAUUUCUUGGUCUGUAGACCGUUUUGCCUAUGGUGAAGGGUUGCAUUGGUAUGUGUCUGUCUUUAUUAUUGUACCAAUUCCUCUGUCUUUCAUUGCAUUUCGUACUAUCUGUAAUGUCUUCUUUCAUGACUUUCAAUUUAGUCUCGAUAAUCUUUGCUACUACUCAGUAAAGGAGAAAGGAGAACAAAAUGGCUCAAUGAUCUGUGUUGUAUUUUCAUAAUUUAUUUACAAGUUAGCAGUAAAAGGUUUGGUUAUAUGGAGAAAUAAUGUAUAGCAGAGUUGAAGGAAUGAUAUAAUGAAUUGAAACAUGGAACAAUGCAGACUGUAAAAGGGUACAUAUAGGUUGCUUUAAUUCCAAAAAUGGAAAUAGUAAUAUUCACUCCAAUUUAACCAAAAUAAACUUAUCAGAAUUCCAAGGUAACAAAACUGAUUAAUAUAAUAUACAGAAAUUAAUCAUAUAAAAAUUUAUAUUAUUACUUGAUAAUAUGAAUGACCAGUAUAAUAUAAAAGUAAGACAUGUUUUCUUUUCUUUUUCUAAAUUUAAUUUAGAACCAACUUUGAGUAAAGACUUGGGAAAUUGAAUUAGCAAAAUUUCUUUCCAUGUAGUUUUUUCUCCUAUUUCUUGUUUGAAUUUAGAGCAAUACAAAAUUUUGUGGCAAGUAAUAGAAAAUGACAGUCAAUUCAUUCCAAACAAUACAAAAUUUGCAGUGGAAUUCAUAUCUUUUAGGUAGCUUCAUUGAGGGCAUAAACAAGUUAGAAUUUGCAGUCUUAAUUUGUGUGGAAUUGAUAUGAAUGUAGUGGAUGCUGCAAAUUGUUGUUGAUUUGUGUGGAAUGACUGGACAUUCUUCUGCAAUUGUUAGAAAUUGGUGUUAUUAUUAUGGAGUUCAAAGGUUAAUAUUUGAUGCUUGCAGAUUUGAGGUGGAAUGUAGAUGAACUGAAGGCUGUUUUAACUUUUGUCUUAUAAGCUAUAUAUAAACAAAUAUUAUUUUAUCUUUUGCUUAUGAAAUGUUGAAAUAGUAAGUUUAUAUUCCUUGAUUAAUAAAAAGUGAGAUGGAGAUAGUCAAACCUCAAUUUCCACAUUGAAAUUGAAUCCAACCAUUCAUUGGUGGAUCGCAUAUCUUGUAUUUUGUCAAGUUAAAAGGGAGUGAAUAGAGCACCAUUUUCUUCUUCUGCGUGGAAAAUAAGUUGGCACUAUGCCAAAUUCCACAUUCAAACAUAUAAAGGAAGCAAGACCAAGUCAAUAUCAUCAACUCUAAUUAUUUCACUUCUUUCUUUAGGGAGUUCAAAUGGUGGCCCGGAAGGAGCGAAAAUGUCACCUAGAAAGAGGGUAUCACAUAUCAAAGCACGAAAGUCGUAAUAACAAUGUUAAAAACAAGGAAGAUUGAGCCAUCAACAGUGUUAUUGUGAAACCGGUCAUAAGUUAUCGCAAUACCCAAAACUCCCAAGUAUCCCCACGACUGUUGUGAAUAUCACGAUACCAAACUUUGGGUAUCACAAUAUCAUUGAUGAGAGGAGACAAAAUAUAACAGUAGGGGUAAUCCUUUUCCAACAUGUCCCCUAACCAAAAUUAGAUGAUCAAGGACAAUUUGGUCACUAUUUUUGGAUCUGUAAUUUGCUAGAAAGGGCAAAAAAUUGGCUGAACAAAAGGCAACACUUAACAUUUCAUGGUUUUCAAUUUUUCUCUUUAUUUUUAGAGUUUUAGUUUUCUUCUCCAUAACUCUAGGGUUUAAUUCAUGUUUUCUUUGAGUUUUUCUUGGUUCCAAUAAUAGUAGUUAGUUAAGUUAAUUAUCACUGUAGCUAGGAUUUAUUGGCUCGUUUAGUACCUUUAACUCUUUGUAUUUUCAGCUUAAUCCUUGGUUUUAAUAUAAAUAAAUUCCCUUCAUCAUUAAAAAUCUAUUUUUAGGGUUUUUUUUUACAUUUCCUUUGCUACCAUUGUAAUUGUUUUCAAGCUUUUCUCAUUUUUCUCAUGUUUUCUAGUUAUGCCUAUUUUGUGUGAUUGUUGUAUUUUUGUUUGUUUAAAUAUGAUUAUGGGUAACUAAAUCUGAAGUGAAAUUUGGCAUUAUGAAAAUGUCCAACAUUGCUUGUGGAUUAAUUCAUUAAUCCAUGUGUAUGUUUUAUUUAUUCAAAUGAUUAAUAGCUAACUUGAUCCUUAAAUUAUAGUUCAAAAAGUAUUUUUUAUAUUUUUAAAUUUUCAUAAAAAUAAUUGUAACAAAAUUUAAAAAUCUGAAAAUAAAUAAAAAUUUUAUAUAAAAAAUCAAUUGGUGCAAGAAAAAAAAAUUUCCAACUACUUUUUCCACAUCCAAUCUCAUAAAUAAUCAGUCUUUGAACUUUCACAAAAAAAUAUUAAAUACCCAUUUACUUUAAUUCUGCUCGUUUUUCAUUUGCUUUAUUGAUUUAUGCUCUCUUCAUAUUAUCUUUCUUUGCCUUUUUUUUUUCUUCCUUUUUCAUGUAGAUCUGCGUCGACUCUACUAUUCUUGGAUCAUUAUAAAUAUAAUAUAUGUUUUAUUUAUAGCUGAAAGUAAAACAUUGAGUUGAAAUUUGGCAAAAAAAAAAAACUGUGGGUUUGGAGAAGAAGAAGGGCACUUCAUAUUUAAAUUUAAAAAAUUUAAAAUUCCAAAAUCGAAAGUUAGUCAAAACCCUAAACAAUCUAAUAAUUGGGGUUGUAGAAAAGAAAUAUGGUUUUAGAAAUAAAUAAAACAAAAUAAAUUUGCAAAACAAUUUCUAGGCAAAACAGCAUUAAAUUAAGGAUUAAAAUAAUUUUUUUUUUAUAAAGCUUAGAGUGAAAUGAGUUUUUGGGAAACUGAAAAAAAAGUGAAAUGGGGAUGUUUGUACUAAUACACAUGGCAUUAUUGGACAGUAGACAAUAACUAAAAUGUUGCGUUAAUUUGUUUAUUGGACAAUCUUCUGCAAUGCUUAGAAAAUUUUAAUAUAUGUUUUAUUUUUAAAAUUUUAAAAUUUAAAAAUCAAUUAAUUGUUUGUAUGAUAUCGAUAUAUAUGUCUCGUCAAUAAAGUUAACAAAUGUUAAUUUUUUAAUCCAUUUUGGGAUGAUUAAAGAAGAAGAUGCAGUUUACCGGAUAGUUUUCUGGCAGCCAUACAUACUAAGUGAAUAGACACUCACAUUCUUUACGUAUUAUAAGGAAGAAGACUAAGUCAAUCUAUUUUGUAAUCUCAUCAAUGUUAAUUUUCUCAGUUGUUUAGGGAGUUCAAAUGAAAUACAAAAUUUUGGUAAAACAAUGUAUCCAAUUUUGGGAAUGAAAAAGAUAUGGUAAAAAGGAAGUGGUUGUUGAUGAGUAUUGAAAAAUAUAGGUUUUCAAUGUCAGCAUUUCAAACUCUUCCAAUAACAAUCUUUAUACCAUAAAAGAAACAACACUGUAACAGUGGUGUUGUGGUAUUAAUCAUCAGAUCUUUUGUUUAAUAUUGGAUUUUAUUUGUUGCCUAUAAAUACCAUUCCUAUCCUUCAUCUUCCUCUACAAACAUAACAUGGCCUCCUCUCUCUCUCUGCCUAUUCCUCUUCUUUCCCCAUCUUUAUGCUUCUUCUUCAGGAUCUCACUCCUGCUCUCACCUCGAAGCUGCUUCUCUAAUCCACUUCAAGAAUUCAUUUUCGAUCACUCAGACCGACCAUGCUGCUUUGUAUUGCGAUGAUUUUGCUAGCCUUAAAUCUUAUCCCAAGACAAAUUCAUGGAAGGAGGGUACAGAUUGCUGCUCAUGGGAUGGGGUCACUUGUGACCACCUAAAUGCUCAUGUUAUUGCCCUUGACUUGAGCUGCAGUUGGCUAUAUGGCACCUUCCCAUCCAAUACCACUCUCUUCCUUCUUCCUCACCUUCAAAAACUCAACCUUUCCUUCGAUGAUUUCAAUGAUUCCAAAACUCCAUCCGAGUUCGGUCGGUUUACAAGCGUAUUCUACCUCAACCUUUCUUAUACAUGGUUAAUUUGCUGGAGAAGUCCCAUCCCAAGUCUUCCACCUGUCAAAAUUGGUUUCACUUGAUCUCUCCUGUUGGGCUAAUGAACAAACAAUUGACAAACAUGCUGUGGAGGGACUUGUUCACAACCUAACCGAGGUCAGACAUCUGUUUUUGGAUGAAAUCAACAUGUCUUCUAUUAAUCCUCAUGUCUUCACGAAUCUAUCCUCUUCUCUAAGGUCUCUCAGUCUUUCUGGUUGAGAUUUGCAAGGAAAAUUCCCAAAAAAACAUUUUGAUUUGCCAAACCUCAAUUUCCUCAACUUGGGAGGCAACCAAAACCUGAAUCUUGAUCUUUUGAAGUUCAGCCGGAGCAGCAAUCUUGAACAUUUGGGUCUGUCGUGGAU